CCCUUAGACGUUCUGGGCCGCACGCGCGCUACACUGACGGAGCCAGCGAGUAUAAACCUUGGCCGAGAGGUCUGGGAAAUCUUGUGAAACUCCGUCGUGCUGGGGAUAGAGCAUUGUAAUUAUUGCUCUUCAACGAGGAAUUCCUAGUAAGCGCAAGUCAUCAGCUUGCGUUGAUUACGUCCCUGCCCUUUGUACACACCGCCCGUCGCUACUACCGAUUGAAUGGCGUAGUGAGGCUUCCGGAUUGGUUUAGAGAAGGGGGCAACUCCAUCUUGGAACCGAGAAGCUAGUCAAACUUGGUCAUUUAGAGGAAGUAAAAGUCGUAACA
This 328-nucleotide ribosomal RNA is filed under the name uncultured eukaryote. RNAcentral describes it as "partial 18S ribosomal RNA". It matches the Rfam family "Eukaryotic small subunit ribosomal RNA", at positions 1470 to 1796 of the family's 1831-position model. The record is from RNAcentral.